Molecule: ribosomal RNA, 253 nt
Filed under: uncultured bacterium
Lineage: Bacteria
Description: partial 16S ribosomal RNA
Rfam family: Bacterial small subunit ribosomal RNA
Source: RNAcentral
UACAGAGGAGCCAAGCGUUGUCCGGAUUGACUGGGCGUAAAGCGUGCGCAGGCGGUUGUGCAAGACAGAUGUGAAAUCCCCGGGCUUAACCUGGGAAUUGCAUUUGUGACUGCACGACUAGAGUGUGUCAGAGGGGGGUAGAAUUCCACGUGUAGCAGUGAAAUGCGUGGAUAUGUGGAGGAAUACCGAUGGCGAAGGCAGCCCCCUGGGAUAACACUGACGCUCAUGCACGAAAGCGUGGGGAGCAAACAGG